Long non-coding RNA from Orcinus orca (killer whale), 145 nucleotides. RefSeq lists it as uncharacterized. NCBI's taxonomy places the organism in Eukaryota, Metazoa, Chordata, Mammalia, Artiodactyla, Delphinidae. The transcript is spliced from 3 exons. The record is from RefSeq and is a predicted model, not a curated record.
CCUGGGCUGGCUGCUGGGUUCAUCCUGAUGGGUGGCAAGCGCAGCAAGAGAGAGCUGGAGCCCAGGUCUCUCUAGCCAGAUGAGACAAGUUCCUCUAAAAUGGCCUGUGAGGCUCCUCCCAGCUCUGAUGCCUGCCCAUUUCGGC